Molecule: long non-coding RNA, 730 nt
Organism: Pecten maximus
Lineage: Eukaryota; Metazoa; Mollusca; Bivalvia; Pectinida; Pectinidae
Exons: 2
Source: RefSeq, a predicted model, not a curated record
UUUACCGUUAACGUGCACGUAUGUACAGUAUUCUAGUCCAGCUUCGCAUAACGUCGUACGGGAUGGUACAGCCUGAAAAUUUUCUGCCGGAAGAGAGCGUGUGCAACCCGCUCCAGUUGUCUGCAGAAACUGUAUAAAAAGUCGAACGUUACGUAAAUCCAGUUGGUGUGUUCAUAAUUUUGACUAAUUAUUUUUGUAAAAAAUAUCUCUUAUAGUGUGCGAAUAAAAUGUAACUCGAGUUAUGGUUUCGAGUACAGAACUGGGAACAUUCGGCAUAUUUCCGAUGAUUGCCGAAAAUGUACCGAGAUGUUGCACCCUCCAUGUCGUUCCUAGGCAACGUGGUUGCUAUAUAAAUCUAGCCAAUCAGAUCGCGAGGUCGAUUGUCCGCCAUUACCUCCGUCAAUUUGUCGGACCUCAGUUGAACACCGCGAGAAUACAUAUGUAAACAGAAAAUGGUAAAAACGUGCUCGUGGGGAACUGGCAACAGUUACGGCCGAUACCCUGAUAGAUUGGAGGGCGGUGUUGUAUAUUCUACAAUUCAUGGAACCUAAAACAUACAGCUUUGGAAGUUGUGUCAGCAGCAGCUGAAAUAAAGAGGCUAAAACAACAACUACAUAGAUAUGAGCUGCUGAAUUUGCACCAUGAACAACAAAAUACUACAUCUUUCUCAAGUGUUAUAUUGAUAGUGAUAUUAAUCAGAAAUAAAAUCGAUUGACAUCCUGAAUUGUAA